AUGAUUCUUGAAGUAUUGAAAUUGCACAUGAGUAAUAAUGAGACGGUGCACCUACGUUUGAACGAUGAGCUGAAUCGGCCAAAACACGUCGUCAGAUCGUAUAAACCACUCGUGGAGAGCACUUGUGACUCGCCGAUGGCCAAACAAGAUAAAUACGGCUCAAAAGACGUAAGUCACAAAUUCCAUCCAUCAAGGCGGUGCGAAGCAGAAGAAAGUGCAUUUUCCAACGACUGCAAUGAUAUCACACCGAUUGACUUUCAGUCCGACCGAAUCGACCGAUGUCAUCGGUUCUGAAGUGCAUGACAAACUUUGUAAAAGUGUAAAAUCUGAGUUACUUUGCAUGCCAGCGGGCUGAUUUUUGAAAUUGACAGACAAGAAAUAUACAAAGUGAAACUGGGGUGAUUCUAUUGGUGGAUGCGACUGAUUCCAAUUUACAGAGGACUCAAAGGAGAUAAGUAAUAGACUGGCUAAUGGCAACACACGAGAGACACUAUAGUAAUUCCAUCAUUUUCCUCCUAAGUCUGUAACAGCCAACCGUUUUAACCAAUAGGAUCAUUCUAUUUCCCCGUUCUCUUCUUUGUCUAUAUCUUAGUCUAUCAAUUUCAAUAAUGACCUGCCUUCUUUGUCUAUCGUUAUGUCUACCAAUUUCCAUAAUCACCCGCUGGUUCACCCUAGAGACACAGGCAACUGAGUACACCAUAGAUACAUCGAUAAAAUUGCACUAAAAUCACGCUGAGCACUUUAAAAUAGUCUAAAAUUUAAUUUUGUAACGCAAUAUUUGCGCAGUCUUGAAGACAGAUUAUAAUAUUUCCCAAAUUCUAAGCAAGGGAAGCAAGAACGCUUUCAAUUUUUUGCAUAUCAAUGGUCAAAGUGCAGAAGUGCGUAACUCGCGGAAAACACGAUUUUCCUCCUUAAUGACUUUUGAAAUGUGCUCAUCGUCAUAUUUUCCAGUGUUUUACCUGAUAGAGACUUUUCGAUUGGCUGCGCCUCUUUUGUGCGAGGCCAAUUUAUCCAAUACUAGCUGCUUCAACUUGCUUCGCUCGCCUCAGCACCUAGCCAGGGGCUCAGCCUUCUGGACCCCGAUGAUUCCCUCCGCGCGUACGGGGAAAACUUUCAAGGGCGGACAUGGAAAGUUUUGAAUUAUUGGUAUCAUCUGGACAUCAACAGCUUUCGUUUGCAACAAAAUUCAAGGAAAUCGGCCCGGCGGCUCCUCGGAAUAAUCAAGGAUCACAAGGUUUCGACCCUUAUAGUUUUAUUUAUAUUGAUAACGGUAAAAGCACCUUGUUGCAACUAUAAGUGCUCCGUGGAUAUUGAUAUUACAUAGACGUAAAAUUGAAGGCGUUCUCACUUCCCUUGCUUCAAAAUAUCACAAACGUGUACGUUUAAGAGUCGACAAUGGAUACUUGGCUGUAUCUCUUGCGUACACAGCAGACCCAGUUAGCUUAAUAUUAGUCAGAAAACUUGAUUUUGAAAAUUUGGCCGUUACUUCUCGUCCCAGUGACACUUCAGUGUACAGCUGAGAUUAUGAGGAGCUGCAAUUUCUAAAAAAACCAUUUUCUCUUUCCUUACUUUAGAUGAACAAUAAACUAUUCCACUCGGUGCGGGCAGUUGGUGGAGAUUUGGACUGCACGUCGAUAGAACGUGAGAGAGAAGCCGGAUUGGGUGGCUGGGUUUCUACCUUGAGGAACUCCUCAAACAGAAAA
RNAcentral lists this long non-coding RNA (1703 nucleotides) under Bemisia tabaci. RNAcentral describes it as "lncRNA ENSSSA2NGG012669". The record is from RNAcentral. Lineage: Eukaryota; Metazoa; Arthropoda; Insecta; Hemiptera; Aleyrodidae.